UUUCUAUCUGGGUUUGAUAGCCCUGGCGCAGUUAGACAAAGUUUAUUUAUUUCUUCCCUAGCUUCCCAAAACCAGCCAAGUCUUUGGGAGCCACUAUGGAAUGACACUCCCCUUGUAAGGGAGUGUGGGGAGGAGGAUAAAGAAGAAACAGACCCACAGCAAAAAGAACAAAACUAUUUAAAUGUAACCUAUUGCCCGCCUGGUUGUUGCUCAAAAUUAACUCUUGUUCUGUUCUGUUUAUGCUUUUCUAAAUUUGUUUUUUUGCAUCGUAGGAAAAAAGAAAAUGUAACCUUCCUUUUCUUAAGCUCAAUUAUUAGAGGUCAAAUACAAAGGUAAAAAAUUUUAGUCAGUAGAUAAAUAAGCUAUUCCAGUAUCUUAUAUGUGUUUAUGAAAAGUCAUCUUCCUAUCCAUAGUUUAUAUAAUAUAAGAUCUUGUACUUCUGGUAACCUAGCUUUAAAAAAGCUGCUUCAGGACAGUUAAGCAUGGCUCUUAACCAAAGAAUAGCUAGUUUUGUCUCCCCUCUUCCCCCUCCCUACCUACAAUUAUCUUCAAACAGAAGAAUUUCAUGUUUUAAAUUUAUUGGCAUAGUUUUAGAACCCCCCAGUUUGUCACUCAGGAAUGGAAGCUUUAGUUCUCCCUUGAGCAAUUACUUUAAAUAUAAAUUAACUGAUUGUCACACAAAUAAGCAAGGGUAAUUAUUAAGGCUUCAUGGAACUCUCUGGAAGAUAUCCACUCUGUACAAGAUAAAAAGAAAUCAAAGUGCAUUUAAGAAACGAAACAGAUUUGCCUUUAAAAAGAUCUAGAAGUCGAGGUCCUUGGUGGUUUCAGUCUACUACUGUCCUGGCUGCCUGUCACCUUUACUACCUACCUACCUCACAAGGAUGUUGUGAGGAAUUUGCUUGAUUUGGAUUUUAAAAAUCUAUAAAGUUAAGUUGUGAGUGAGGUUAUAUACCACAUAAAUUUCAAGAUGAUAUAGUUUAAUAAAAAGUUCAAUUGAAACAUUCAUUUCUGUUCAGC
This 1017-nucleotide long non-coding RNA is filed under the name Sarcophilus harrisii (Tasmanian devil). Its description in RNAcentral is "lncRNA (ENSSHAG00000025315.1)". Lineage: Eukaryota; Metazoa; Chordata; Mammalia; Dasyuromorphia; Dasyuridae. The record is from RNAcentral.